UUGAAGAGUUUGAUCAUGGCUCAGAUUGAACGCUGGCGGCAGGCCUAAGACAUGCAAGUCGAGCGAGAAAGCCCUUCGGGGUGAGUACAGCGGCGGACGGGUGAGUAACGCGUAGGAAUCUACCCAGUAGUGGGGGACAACUAGUGGAAACGCUAGCUAAUACCGCAUACGCCCCAAGGGGGAAAGCGGGGGAUCUUCGGACCUCGUGCUAUUGGAUGAGCCUGCGUAAGAUUAGCUUGUUGGUGGGGUAAUGGCCCACCAAGGCGACGAUCUUUAGCUGGUCUGAGAGGAUGAUCAGCCACACCGGGACUGAGACACGGCCCGGACUCCUACGGGAGGCAGCAGUCGGGAAUAUUGCGCAAUGGGGGAAACCCUGACGCAGCCAUGCCGCGUGUGUGAAGAAGGCCCUAGGGUUGUAAAGCACUUUUAGUAGUGAGGAAGGCUCAGUAGUUAAUACCUACUGGGAUUGACGUUAGCUACAGAAAAAGCACCGGCUAAUUUCGUGCCAGCAGCCGCGGUAAUACGAAAGGUGCAAGCGUUAAUCGGAAUUACUGGGCGUAAAGCGCGCGUAGGCGGACUGGAAAGUUGGGGGUGAAAUCCCAGGGCUCAACCCUGGAACUGCCUCCAAAACUAUCAGUCUAGAGUUCGAGAGAGGUGAGUGGAAUUCCGAGUGUAGAGGUGAAAUUCGUAGAUAUUCGGAGGAACACCAGUGGCGAAGGCGGCUCACUGGCUCGAUACUGACGCUGAGGUGCGAAAGUGUGGGGAGCAAACAGGAUUAGAUACCCUGGUAGUCCACGCCGUAAACGAUGUCAACUAGCCGUUGGGAGGGUAAUCCUUUUAGUGGCGCAGCUAACGCUUUAAGUUGACCGCCUGGGGAGUACGGUCGCAAGAUUAAAACUCAAAGAAAUUGACGGGGGCCCGCACAAGCGGUGGAGCAUGUGGUUUAAUUCGA
RNAcentral lists this ribosomal RNA (952 nucleotides) under Ctenophora environmental sample. RNAcentral's name for it is "partial Bacterial small subunit ribosomal RNA". It matches the Rfam family "Bacterial small subunit ribosomal RNA", at positions 1 to 954 of the family's 1533-position model. The record is from RNAcentral. Lineage: Eukaryota; Metazoa; Ctenophora.